GGGAUGCUGAACACUGGAGGAAGCUGCUUUCUCCUCUGAUCUCUCUGCUGAUCCCAAGUGGGUUAUUGCUGUGCUCAGAGCUGGAGUGCAGGAAAGAGAAGGAAUGUGUAUGGGAAGGAUGGACAGGCCAACAGGAGGAAAGAGAAAACAGGCAGCAGUAGUGACAGCAGAUCCGAGUGGGAUUUUAUGACAUUUCGGGGUUCCCUUAUGCGAUCACAGCGAUGGAGCGCACCCACAUCAUCCUUCACAUCCCUGCCUUCCCCCUUUGGACAUGGGAAAUUUGGAAAUUCACUCCCUGACUCCAUGAAUAUUAGAGCAAUGGCAAUAAUGCCACUCAACACGACGUGACGUGACGGGACCGAACGCAACUCAACGGCUGAGAAAACAACGGGAAACUUCUGGAGGUGUGACAUGGACCCCCAAAAUUACACUGGAAUGAGCCUUGGGAUGAUCCCAGGAGUCAAAUGUGCAAAAUGGUGCAGCUGAGUGACUUCUGUCUUCGUGAAGCAAACUAUUCCCAUGUGCACACAAAAAGGACCUUCAGCUACAUCAACAGCAGGAUAUUUCCAUUUAAACACGCCACUUAAGCACAGAAAGUGAAGUUCCCUCCAUUUUUGAAGAUUUCACUGGAAGAGCCUGAAUUCCUUAGCCGACAGGAUUGCACCAGAGAAGAUUUUCAGGGAUGUUCAGAAAGUCAAUAGCUGGAGUGAAUAAAGGUUGGAAAGGUCCCUGUGGCUCACCCAGCUCUGUACUCACUGCUCCAUGGAUCCAACCCUCCUGCUAAGCUAAGCUUUGUGGGAGAAAGGAAGGAGGAAUACACCCCCUAAAGAACAGCACAACAGUUUCCAGGCUGAAGUCUCUAACAUACACAACCUCCUCUGUGCUUCUGCAGACACAGACCCACCAGCCCUGUGAGAAGAUGAGUGUGUUUACCAUGUUGAAGAGAUCAGCAGCAGAUUUAUUAGACAGAGUAAAGCCUUCGGGCAGACGAGAAAAAUUCUAAAAAAUCCAGUUUCCAAGCAGGAAAUUUGAGGAGUGAUGCAGAGAUCGUGACAGAAGCUGAAAACUGCAUGCAGAGACAAUGCCUCAGUGUCAAAAUUAACACAUGAAAACAGCAACAAUACAUAUUUUGGAGAAAUGUUUUAUAUAUUUGACCUGUUUCGUUGGUUUUUUUUUUUUUGUUUUUUUUUUUUUCCCAGUAGAGAAAAA
This is a long non-coding RNA of Melospiza melodia melodia, 1209 nucleotides long. RefSeq lists it as uncharacterized. The transcript has 7 exons. NCBI's taxonomy places the organism in Eukaryota, Metazoa, Chordata, Aves, Passeriformes, Passerellidae. The record is from RefSeq and is a predicted model, not a curated record.